RNAcentral lists this ribosomal RNA (439 nucleotides) under uncultured bacterium. RNAcentral's name for it is "partial 16S ribosomal RNA". It matches the Rfam family "Bacterial small subunit ribosomal RNA", at positions 339 to 795 of the family's 1533-position model. The record is from RNAcentral.
CUACGGGAUGCUCCAGUGGGGAAUAUUGCACAAUGGACGAAAGUCUGAUGCAGCAACGCCGCGUGGAGGAUGACACAUUUCGGUGCGUAAACUCCUUUUAUAUAAGAAGAUAAUGACGGUAUUAUAUGAAUAAGCACCGGCUAACUCCGUGCCAGCAGCCGCGGUAAUACGGAGGGUGCAAGCGUUAUUCGGAAUCACUGGGCGUAAAGGGUGCGUAGGCGGUUUGGAAAGUCAGGUGUGAAAGCCUACAGCUUAACUGUAGAACUGCACUUGAAACUUCCAGACUAGAAUACUGAAGGGGCAGAUGGAAUUAGUGGUGUAGGGGUAAAAUCCGUAGAUAUCACUAGGAAUACCUAAAGCGAAAGCGAUCUGCUGGGAAGUUAUUGACGCUGAGGCACGAAAGCGUGGGGAGCAAACAGGAUUAGAUACCCGCGUAGUC